Molecule: small RNA, 560 nt
Filed under: Pan troglodytes (chimpanzee)
Lineage: Eukaryota; Metazoa; Chordata; Mammalia; Primates; Hominidae
Description: retained intron
Source: RNAcentral
GUUCCCGAGCCCAGGCCCGCGCCGAGCCCAGGCACCCACCCACGGCCCUUCCUGGUAUCUGGACCAGACCAGGUGGGUCUCAGCCCCACCUCAAGUGAGACUUCAGGAAGAACUUCCAGAGGAAACUGGAGGAUGGCAGUGGGAUGGACUGUGGGGAGGUCAUUUGCAAACAAGGCAGCUAUGCCUGUGCCCUGGGCCUUCCAAAGUCCACCUGUAGGCUGCAUCUUCCGGAAGGCCCACCCUGUAGCCUGGAAGGCACCUGGCUACAGUGAUCUCUCUGCUGUGCAGGUGUCCCCUCCCCCAGGGCACCUUGCAGGGCCUAGGGUGAUAUGGGGGCUUUCUGGGCCCCUGCCCACCUUAAAACUGAUCAAGGUGGGAGGGUGGGGUGGGAGGCCACAGGGAUACCCCUGCUGCUUGACCUUGAUGGGACCUUGACCCCUUGCUUUCCCCAUAUGCUGUUGGGCAUGACUGCCCACAGGCCUGGUGGGCAUUUGUGAAGGGCUGGAGUCGGGGGUAGGGGGAGCUUAUGGCUGCUGGGCACAGGCGUGGCAGGGCUGUGU